Molecule: ribosomal RNA, 254 nt
Filed under: uncultured bacterium
Lineage: Bacteria
Description: partial 16S ribosomal RNA
Rfam family: Bacterial small subunit ribosomal RNA
Source: RNAcentral
UACGUAGGGUGCGAGCGUUGCCCGGAUUUAUUGGGCGUAAAGGGCGCGUAGGCGGCUCUGCACGUCCGUUGUGAAAUCGCCCGGCUCAACUGGGCGGGGUCACAGGUAACGGUCGAGCUAUGAGUGCAGGAGAGGGAAGUGGAACUCCGGGAGUAGCGGUGAAAUGCGUAGAGACCCGGAGGAACACCAGUGGCGAAGGCGGCUUCCUGGUCUGCGACUGACGCUGUGGCGCGAAAGCUAGGGGAGCGAACGGG